RNAcentral lists this ribosomal RNA (514 nucleotides) under uncultured bacterium. RNAcentral describes it as "bacterial SSU rRNA". It matches the Rfam family "Bacterial small subunit ribosomal RNA", at positions 1 to 518 of the family's 1533-position model. The record is from RNAcentral.
UACGUCACGAGGAGUUAGUACGUACUCGGCGCGACGGACGAACGCUGGCGGCACGCUUAACACAUGCAAGUCGAACGGAGUUUAUUGGAGCUUGCUUUGAUAAACUUAGUGGCGGACGGGUGAGUAACACGUGAGCAAUCUGCCCUUAAGAGGGGGAUAGCAGUUGGAAACGACUGAUAAUACCGCAUAAGAUAGUAGUACCGCAUGGUACAGCUAUAAAAGAUUUAUCGCUUAAGGAUGAGCUCGCGUCUGAUUAGCUAGUUGGUGAGGUAACGGCUCACCAAGGCAACGAUCAGUAGCCGGACUGAGAGGUUGGACGGCCACAUUGGGACUGAGACACGGCCCAGACUCCUACGGGAGGCAGCAGUGGGGAAUAUUGCACAAUGGAGGAAACUCUGAAUGCAGCGAUGCCGCGUGAGGGAAGAAGGUUUUAGGAUUGUAAACCUCUGUUGACAGGGACGAUAAUGACGGUACCUGUUGAGGAAGCUCCGGCUAACUACGUGCCAGCCGCCGC